GGCAGAGGUGGCAAGCGUUGUUCGGAUUCAUUGGGUGUAAAGGGUUCGUAGGUGGUCGAAUAAGUCUGACGUGAAAUCCCAUGGCUCAACCGUGGAACUGCGUUGGAGACUGUACGACUUGAGUACCGCAGAGGUAAAGGGAAUUCCCGGUGUAAGGGUGAAAUCUGUAGAUAUCGGGAGGAACACCAGUGGCGAAGGCGCUUUACUGGGCGGUAACUGACACUGAGGAACGAAAGCAAGGGGAGCAAACAGG
This 253-nucleotide ribosomal RNA is filed under the name uncultured bacterium. RNAcentral's name for it is "partial 16S ribosomal RNA". It matches the Rfam family "Bacterial small subunit ribosomal RNA", at positions 524 to 776 of the family's 1533-position model. The record is from RNAcentral.